This 3397-nucleotide long non-coding RNA is filed under the name Hordeum vulgare. RNAcentral describes it as "long non-coding RNA (HVUL_LNC010440)". Lineage: Eukaryota; Viridiplantae; Streptophyta; Magnoliopsida; Poales; Poaceae. The record is from RNAcentral.
UGCCGGCCAUCCCCCGGCUGUCGUGGGGCUUAAAGACGACCCCGCGGCCUCGUCCCGAACCCUAGCCGCCUCUCCUCCCUCUGCCCCGCUCACACCCCUCGUCGUCCACGACCCCAUGGCCGCCUUGCCGUGAAGCUCGCGCUCUCCCGUCGACCCCAUGCCCGGAGUCCAUGUCCUGCAGCUCCUUCGGCCUCCUCUACGUCGUCUACGACCACCACCUCGAGCUCUAUGCCUCUACAUCGCAGGGAUCGACGUCGUCUUCCUCACCUACGGCCGUCGUUGCCUCGUCCGAUCUACCUCACCGGAGCUCCUCCGCCCCAUCCGACGUGUCCUCCACCUUCCCCUGUGAGUGGCACCCCCAUUCCCCUUGUCUCCCCCUCGAUCCGUCGCCAUAGUUACUGUCCCCGAGUUCGUCCGAAUGUACGCGUACGUACGUGCGCGCCCGUGCGUGGCCUCGCUCCUGCAGUUGACUGCUACUGUUGUCGUGCCGCCGUAGGACGCUCGCGUGCGUCCGUGUGCUGUUCGUCGCUGCCGCAUCGCCACGCCCUACGUCCAUCCGCGCGCGCGCUCGUACGACCCUGGCCGCAGCCUCCGGCGACCGCGUGCCUCUGUUGUUGCUUUCUUCUGCUGCUGCUCUGUCGUCGCGCCUACUGCUGCUGCUGCUCAUUGCUAUUUUUCUCUUGCUACUGCACCGUUGCCGCUGCUCUAAGCUGCUCGUGCGUGGGCAGCGUGGCUAUCUGCUACCUACAGCUGCUUAUUGCUCUCCCUGCCGUCGCUUUGUGUGGCUAUCACUGCUGCCUCCAGCUGUUGCUGCUGAUGUGCUGCUAUACUGCCUCCCGCUGGUAGUGGUGCCGCUCAGGCUGCUAUGCUAGCCGAUGCAUAUGCUAGCCGUUGCUGGUCAUGGCUUGCCGGGUGUGUGUAGCGUGUGUGUGCCAUGCGUGUGUAUGCCACAGCCAUGUGUGGCCGGCUCUUUGUUUAGUUAUAAAGUAGUUUGAUUUAGGAUUAGUUUAGUAGUACUAAAUUAGUAUACUAAUAAAUGACAUGUGUGUCCCACUUAAUUAGAUUAAAUAAAUAAGUUUUGAUAUUUAGUAAAGCUCUGACAUGAGGACCCCCCAACACUAUUGACUUUGGGCGGUCAAAUUGACUUGGUCAAUUCUGACUAUUUAAAUAUAAUUAUUAUAUAAAUUCCUGAAUAAUGAUUAAAUUUUUGAAAAUUAAUACAAAAUAAUCCGUAGCUCGUAUGAAAAAUAAUUUAUAUAUGAAAGUUGCUCAGAAAGAUCCGACGAACCCGGUUACGAUGUCCGUUCGUGUGUCGUGCGUCUCUAGCAUAGCAAACGUGAAACUUUUUCACCAUUUUUUGUGUGACCGGUAGAAGCCAGAGACCCCGGGAAAUAUCUUUUGAUAUUUUUCCCGACCCGUCUAGGAUGGAUAGCACUGCGUUAGCUCAUGCCUAGCGCUGCCUUUAAGCCAUGUCUUGCUUUGUGAUGCUUUUGUUUGUUCUGUUAUUUAUUGUGUUUCCCCUACACUACUUCAUUUCCGGUAGGCCCCGAGACCGAUGAUGAUCCGGUGAUCGACUACUUCCCGGUCGAUGAUCCAUUUUGCCGCAGAGCAACAAGGCAAGCAAACCCUCCCUUGAUCAUUCCUAUAUCACCUAUGUCUUUCUUCCUACUGCUUGCAUUAGUAUUUUGCUACUGUUGUAGCUAGCUCCUAUAUCUGAUGCAUAGCUUGUUUUUGAUGAACAGCUACUUUCAGUCCUGUACCUUUACUCUGCUUAGUAUAGGUGGAGCAGUCAUCCCCUCUGACCCCGUAGUUUAGUUGCCCCGCUUGUUUUCAAAUCUCGAUCUCUGAUCGACGAGCCAGACCCGACACAGCACAUUCACCCCCUUCGUUGUACGAUGCUACAGAGAUACUAUCGGGUACCGAGGGUGACACCUCACUAAGUACUCCUGAUGAUAUCUCUGUAGUAUAGCUGGUCGGUCGUGGUUAUCGAGGGUGAUUCCUCUUUCACCAUUCCCGAUGACGCCUCUGUCGUGCCACCCCGCGAGUGUGGGACCCCCGAGGUUGAUUCCUCUAAGCCCACCUUGACGGGUACAUCGUUCGGAAUCCAACGAGGGUGAUACCUCGGAUUCCCCCCGAUGGUACAACCACACAGUUACUCGACCAUGUUACUGGGAUCAUUGGUGAUUAGUUGUAAGACGGGUGGAUUCCCGUGAGACUGUGUUGAUGGCCUAAUUAAAAUGCUAAUGGAUUUGGGUAUUUGAUCUGGGUUGGUCGGAGACCUUUUCGCACUAACCGGCUACGCGGGAAGAAUUAUGGGUACUCGGCGUCGCGGUAUCAGCCGAAGCUUUUCAGAUGCCAGCAAUGUAGCGGCGCGCGCCCGAGUGGUCCCGAGAUGCAUCGCGCUUGUGAUUAAGGGAUGCUAGGACUGACGUCGGCCGCCCACGCCACGUGCAGGAGCGUGAAGGGGAACUGGGCCCACGAACCCUUUGUGCUUAGGAGUUAGACCGGCGGGCUGGCCUCUCUGAUUAGUCUUAGGUGGGGCUGCGACGUGUCGAUAUUCCGAGGCCGGGCAGGACCCAGAAAAGUAUGUCCGGCCAGAGUGUUAUCGAGCGUGACGGGACAUGUGGUGCACCCCUGCAGGGAUGAAAAUUAACUAUUCGGAUAGCCGUGUCCACGGUUACAGGACGACUUGGAGUUGUGCCCCGAUCUUUUACAACUACAAUUGUUACUUAACUGGAAUUAGUUUGCCUCGGGAUUGCUUCCUCGCAGGGAGUCGAGGGAGGAUCUUUAGGCGUGACCUCACUUUAAUAUUGCUGCAACAAUAUGACUAUUUAUGUUUUACCCCCUGUUCUACUCUCGUCUUUUGCUGCAAGACCCUGAAGAUGCUAGUCUUCGAUAGGACUAGGCCUUCUCUCUCUAUUCUCGCAUUGCUGCAGUCAGUCCACAUAUACACCCCUCCCUUCUUUGAUACUGAUGCAUAAUUAGAAUAGUUCUGAUGUAAGACUUGCGAGUACUUUGGAUGAGUACUCACCGCUGCUUUGCUCCCCCCUUGUCCCCUUGAUCCGUUGCUGCGACCAGAUGAUGGAGCCCAGGAGAUGGAGGUCCCCGCCACCGACGACUGCUACCCCGACGGUGCCUACUACUACGUGGAGGCCGCUGAUGAUCAGGAGUAGUUAGGAGGUUCCCAGGCAGGAGGCUUCGCCUCAUUCAAUCGUUGUAUCUUUUGUGCUAGCCUUCUCUAAGGCACCCCAUGUUUAUGUCUGUACUCAGAUAUUUUUUGUUUCCGCUGACUCGUGUGUUUAUCAAGCUUUCGUAUUCUAGCCCUCGAGGCCCCUGGCUUGUAAUAUGAAGCUGAUGUUAUUUUAUUUGUGUCUAGAGUUGUGUUGUGAUAUCUUCC